UAAGGAAUAUUGGUCAAUGGACGCAAGUCUGAACCAGCCAUGCCGCGUGAAGGAUGAAGGUCCUCUGGAUUGUAAACUUCUUUUAUCUGGGACGAAAACGGGAUUUUUAUCUCAAUUGACGGUACCAGAGGAAUAAGCACCGGCUAACUCCGUGCCAGCAGCCGCGGUAAUACGGAGGGUGCGAGCGUUAUCCGGAUUUACUGGGUUUAAAGGGUGCGUAGGUGGGCUUAUAAGUCAGUGGUGAAAUCUCCGAGCUUAACUUGGAAACUGCCGUUGAUACUAUAGGUCUUGAAUUAUCUGGAGGUCAGCGGAAUAUGUCAUGUAGCGGUGAAAUGCUUAGAUAUGACAUAGAACACCAAUUGCGAAGGCAGCUUACUACAUAUAAAUUGACGCUGAGGCACGAAAGCGUGGGAAUCAAACA
RNAcentral lists this ribosomal RNA (421 nucleotides) under uncultured bacterium. Its description in RNAcentral is "bacterial SSU rRNA". It matches the Rfam family "Bacterial small subunit ribosomal RNA", at positions 355 to 774 of the family's 1533-position model. The record is from RNAcentral.